This 485-nucleotide ribosomal RNA is filed under the name uncultured bacterium. RNAcentral describes it as "partial 16S ribosomal RNA". It matches the Rfam family "Bacterial small subunit ribosomal RNA", at positions 30 to 506 of the family's 1533-position model. The record is from RNAcentral.
AUUGAACGCUGGCGACAUGCCUUACACAUGCAAGUCGAACGGCAGCACGGGUGCUUGCACCUGGUGGCGAGUGGCGAACGGGUGAGUAAUACAUCGGAACAUGUCCUGUAGUGGGGGAUAGCCCGGCGAAAGCCGGAUUAAUACCGCAUACGAUCUACGGAUGAAAGCGGGGGACCUUCGGGCCUCGCGCUAUAGGGUUGGCCGAUGGCUGAUUAGCUAGUUGGUGGGGUAAAGGCCUACCAAGGCGACGAUCAGUAGCUGGUCUGAGAGGACGACCAGUCACACUGGGACUGAGACACGGCCCAGACUCCUACGGGAGGCAGCAGUGGGGAAUUUUGGACAAUGGGCGAAAGCCUGAUCCAGCAAUGCCGCGUGUGUGAAGAAGGCCUUCGGGUUGUAAAGCACUUUUGUCGGGAAAGAAAUCCUUGGCCCUAAUACGGUCGGGGGAUGACGGUACCGGAAGAAUAAGCACCGGCUAACUACGU